This 77-nucleotide transfer RNA is filed under the name Pseudomonas sp. FSL A6-1183. Its description in RNAcentral is "tRNA-Arg". It matches the Rfam family "tRNA". Rfam says of the family: Transfer RNA (tRNA) molecules are approximately 80 nucleotides in length. Their secondary structure includes four short double-helical elements and three loops (D, anti-codon, and T loops). RNAcentral also lists the same sequence under 2 other names. The record is from RNAcentral. Lineage: Bacteria; Pseudomonadati; Pseudomonadota; Gammaproteobacteria; Pseudomonadales; Pseudomonadaceae.
GCACUCGUAGCUCAGCUGGAUAGAGUACUCGGCUACGAACCGAGCGGUGACAGGUUCGAAUCCUGUCGAGUGCACCA